UCGAAGUCACAUUCUCCAUGUUUGCAAUUUCUGCCUUCAAGCUCCCUUUCACCCCUUGUAAUGCUACUACGUGUCUGUCUUUACCACUGCGAGGAUAACGCUAACACUACGCAAUGCCUACACCUAAUUGCGGCGCAAUCAGUGGUCUUCCACUCUGAGAAAACUGGCAGAGAAGAUCAAGAUAAUAUUCUCAGUUGACACAGUUGCUUACCGGAAUCGUGAGUGAGCAUACCACGACCGCGGCUUGUGUGGGAGGGCUCAAAGCCACGUGUAGGGAUAAAGAUGGCUAAAGAAUACCAGUGGUGCCGAAUUGAGGCAUUCACACUCAAAUUCAGCAUUGGUCCGGGUUUAGGAUUUAGUAACUCACCCAUGCUUCUAAGAUUUGUGAUGGUGUCUUGACCAACUCUGAGGAACGCAUUUGUGUUGAGGGGUUUGGGUUUUCUGCUGUGACUCAUUGGAACAUGCGUUGAUCAACAAGAUCGAUGGCAGCUUUUCUGUGGCACAAAGUAGCUGCGAUCUCUGGUUUUUCCAUUUGGGCUGUUGCUCUUAAUCUAGUAGAGAGAUCAUCUUCAACAUCCAGAAUGAAGGCGAAAUGCUGGACAUUCACAGGUAUUACAGCUAUAGUAGCUGGCACAUUUGGGUCGCAUGGGUUCAAACCGACAGAUCCGGUUUACAAAACUUUGUGCUCCACGGACGCUUUACCUAUGAUUUGGUGCCUCGAGGCAUGGCAGGUGUGGCAGACAGGCAACCUGUAUCACCUAGUUCAUACGUCAGCCCUUCUUGUUGCUCCUUACACUAAGCGCCCUCAUUUGGUGCAGUUUGGAAGUCUUCUGACGUUCGGGAUUGCAGCUUUCUCGGGGACUUAUCAGAAAAAUACCAAAAAUGGAUACUCCAGUCAUGUAGGUUGUAUGUCGUGGCACUGACUGAAAAUCGCAAGCUCAAUAAGCCAGCCCCAUUUGGAGGCAUGUCAUUUAUUCUUGCAUGGGGAUCUCUCCUCUUUUGAGUGUCCGUUGCGAUUGCAAGUUUGGGUGCACAGAAAGGGACAAGGUUGACGCGCUUCGGCGAUGAACGCGAAGGAAUUUAAAUUUCCCUGCUCCCAUGGAGGAUCCUUCAAAUACAUAUGGACGAUGACCUGUGGAUGCCUUGUAACUAUUCUGUAUCUGUGGAGACGCAAAAAUAGAGACGCAAAAAUAUUUCAGUGACAAACAAUGCCAAUCACAAAUGGGUCCACAAUUAAUGAUAUGUAACAUGUUACAACUUCAACAGAAUGUUACUUAUGUUACAGGAAUAUGCACUUAAA
Molecule: RNA transcript, 1300 nt
Organism: Physcomitrium patens
Lineage: Eukaryota; Viridiplantae; Streptophyta; Bryopsida; Funariales; Funariaceae
Source: RefSeq, a predicted model, not a curated record